CCCAAAGGAAGCCAAAUCGAUGGUUGGCAGUGACCACCGGCGUCGGAAAAUCAAAGGAAAAGAGGGUCGGAACAAUCCGAAACAGGGGACAACCUUUUUCAAAAGAAAUCUGAUGAUUGUUGGUCGGAGGUGCGGCUCAUGGUGGCAAGAUCAUAGAUCUCCGAUCCGAUGAUCAACAACGAUGGACGACGUCGAAAUCAAAUCAAACAUAGGGAGAGA
Molecule: long non-coding RNA, 219 nt
Filed under: Elaeis guineensis (African oil palm)
Lineage: Eukaryota; Viridiplantae; Streptophyta; Magnoliopsida; Arecales; Arecaceae
Description: long non-coding RNA (EGUI_LNC016307)
Source: RNAcentral